CUGCGCUACUGCCUGUAACAAAAUAAUAACAAUAAUAAAAAAGGUUAAAUCAAUUGAAGUGUUUCAUUUAGAUAAAGUCCAAACAUCCCAAUCUGAUUCUGGAUUUGAUUUGAUUUGAUUGUAUUUUAUAUUUUAUUUUAUUUUAUUUUAUUUUAUUUUAUUUUAUUUUAUUUUAUUUUAUUUUAUUUUAUUUAUAUAUUUUUUUGCAAUCCUUUCUUAUCCACACCAAACCAUGGGGAAUGCCGAGCUGGAACAGCUCGUUCUGAUGAGACCCAGACCAAAUUUCCUCCCUGCCAUUGGUUUCCAGAGGAAAACUCGAGCAGCCCCACUCCUCCCUCCACAGAGGACAUUUCCUGAUGUGACCAUGCGAUUUCUCCCUGGACUGAGCCCGCUGACUUGCACAAUUCCCCUUCUGGUCAACAAGAAAAAAUCACAGCCUCAGACCCAUCAUCCCAAGACGUCUGUGUUCCUCCUCCCCCAUCUCCACGCUCCUUCUGCAGGGUGCUAACGAGGGCUCAUUUACACCACGGGAUGUUCUGCGCUGCGUCGGAGAGGUCCAAGGGGAGACCUGCGGGAUUGUACACAUGGGAUCGGUGCUGGAGCAGAAACCUUUGGGUACGGGUAGGUGGAUGUGAUGGAUGGAGCUCAGGAGCAGUCUGGCCCUGGGUGCUGGAGGAAAGAUGCUGUUUUCUUAAAUUACUUACUGAGAAAGCCUAAGUCAAUCUACAUAUUAAACAUACCGGAGAUUGGAGUCCAAGUCAAUGUGGCUCACGACAGACCUAGGGAACCAAGUCUCUCUCCCCGAGAGCCUGCACUCCCCCUUCUCCUUCUCCGUUAGCUUAAGGCGAUAAAACUUUGAAGAUGUAAUCUAGGCAUUAUCUGCCUUUUUGGAUAAUGUUCAACAGUAAUUUUAGUGUCGUCUUUAUCUCCAAAAUGGUUGCUUUAAAUUCAGCUGCUUCCUUCCCAGAGGCUGGUUUGACUUUUAGGCAGCAAAAUAUCUUUCUGUGUGUCCUCCCUUUUGGUGGGUCAGAUUUUUUGGGUUCUGGUUUAUUCUCCUAUUUGUUUUCCCCUCUGCCAUACCUCCUCUUUAGCUCUGUUUGGCUUUUCUUAUACCAGGAUUUAUUCUUCCCACGAAAGGAUUCAUCCAUGCAGAAGAGCUCAGAGCAUAUUCCAGAGAUGCCCGUGCUGUUGGAAAGGAUCAAGGCAAGAAGACAUCCUAUCUCAGGGACUGACCCAAAUUUUCUACAACCCCUUUCAGGAUAG
RNAcentral lists this long non-coding RNA (1263 nucleotides) under Anas platyrhynchos platyrhynchos (common mallard). RNAcentral's name for it is "lncRNA (ENSAPLG00000031240.1)". Lineage: Eukaryota; Metazoa; Chordata; Aves; Anseriformes; Anatidae. The record is from RNAcentral.